Molecule: ribosomal RNA, 398 nt
Filed under: Candidatus Scalindua marina (nom. nud.)
Lineage: Bacteria; Pseudomonadati; Planctomycetota; Candidatus Brocadiia; Candidatus Brocadiales; Candidatus Scalinduaceae
Description: bacterial SSU rRNA
Rfam family: Bacterial small subunit ribosomal RNA
Source: RNAcentral
UUCGCAAUGCCCGAAAGGGUGACGAAGCGACGCCGCGUAGGUGAGGAAGGCCUUCGGGUUGUAAAGCCCUGUCAGGAGUUAAGAAAUGUAGACUCGCUAAUAUCGGGUCUAUUUGACAAAGGCUCCAAAGGAAGCCACGGCUAACUCUGUGCCAGCAGCCGCGGUAAUACAGAGGUGGCAAGCGUUGUUCGGAAUUAUUGGGCGUAAAGAGCACGUAGGUGGAUUUGUAAGUCAGACGUGAAAGCCUUCUGUUCAACGGAAGAAUUGCAUCUGAAACUACAAACCUUGAGUGUAGGAGGGGAGAAUGGAACUUCUGGUGGAGCAGCUAGGGGAGCAAACGGGAUUAGAUACCCCGGUAGUCCUAGCCGUAAACGAUGGGCACUAAGUAGAGGGGUUUU